Molecule: ribosomal RNA, 1387 nt
Filed under: Epixanthus frontalis
Lineage: Eukaryota; Metazoa; Arthropoda; Malacostraca; Decapoda; Oziidae
Description: 16S ribosomal RNA
Rfam family: Archaeal large subunit ribosomal RNA (bases 615-1387)
Source: RNAcentral
AAUUGUUGUCUAGGGUAAGUAAUGAUGUUUGUAAGUGUAAAGAAAUCAAUUAUGUCUUAAGAAUGAGAUAGAGUAAUGGAUAAUAAAAUUUUUGCUUCGACUAUAGUUAAAAAGUACUGUAAAGGAAAAAUGAAAUAAGUGGUAAAAAUUUUUAUAGUAAAUAUUAAUUGUUGUACCUUGUGUAUCAGGGAAAAUCAAAUUUAACUAAAAAUGUGUAGUAGUCUCGAAAUAAAUAAUAGCUAACUUUAUAAAGGAGUUUUUGUAGCAAAAAGAUUUUGAAUGUAAAGUUAAAGAUGAAACGUCAAUCGAGUUUUAUUAUAUCUGGUUUUCUAAGAAGUGAAUAUAAUUUAGGAUUUGAGUGAGGAAAAUUGACUUAAAAUCUAAGAACUGGAGGGAUUAGCUUCUGGUUCUAGAAUGAUGUUAUAAUAGUCUGGUUAAUUUUUUUAUUUUUAUCUAGGCUUGAGAAUAGCCAUGGUAAUAAAAUGUUUUAAUUAAAGCAAAGAGUAAAAUAAUUUUUUGAGGGCUUUAAAAGUUAUUGGAAUAUCAAUUGAAACUGGGUUUGUUGAGAUAUAAUGAUUUUAUUAGUAGAGAUAAAUUAUAGUUGUUUAGUUUUUUUUUGAAAUUAUAAAGAAGUUUUACAUAUUAGAGGUGUGAUUAAGGAACUCGGCAACAUGAUUCCUUGCCUGUUUAUCAAAAACAUGUCUAUUUGGAGAUAUAAGUAGUCUGGUCUGCUCACUGAUAAAGUUAUUGUUUAAGAGCCGCGGUAUUUUGACCGUGCAAAGGUAGCAUAAUCAUUAGUUUUUUAAUUGAGAACUUGUAUGAAGGAUCGGACAAAGGAAUAGCUGUCUCUAUCACAAAUAUUGAAUUUAACUUUUAAGUGAAAAGGCUUAAAUAGUUCAAGGGGACGAUAAGACCCUAUAAAGCUUUAUGUGUUAAUUAAAUUUAAUUGAAUUGUUAGAAAAUAAAAGUUUAGUUUGAUUGUCAUAUUUUGUUGGGGCGAUAUAGGUAUAAUUUAUAUUAACUACUUAAGUUUAAUACAAAGAUGGAUGUGUAUAUUAUAGUAAUUGAUCCUUUUUAAAGAUUACAAGACUAAGUUACUUUAGGGAUAACAGCGUAAUUUCUUUUGAGAGUUCAUAUCGAAAAAGGAGUUUGCGACCUCGAUGUUGAAUUAAAAUGUCUAUAUAAUGCAGCCGUUAUAUAAGAAGGUCUGUUCGACCUUUAAAGUUUUACAUGAUUUGAGUUCAGACCGGCGUGAGCCAGGUCGGUUUCUAUCUCUUGAAUAAUAAUAAUUACUUUAGUACGAAAGGAUUAAGUAAUUUUAAAGCUUUAAAUGAUUGAUAAUACUAUUUUGGCAGAGUAAUAUGUUCUAGACUUAGGAUCUAGUUAG